Molecule: non-coding RNA, 297 nt
Organism: Vicia faba (fava bean)
Lineage: Eukaryota; Viridiplantae; Streptophyta; Magnoliopsida; Fabales; Fabaceae
Source: the annotation of a GenBank genome assembly
AUGCAGGGUGGAGGAAAGAAAGCCGGAGAGUCUGCUAAAGAAACAGCUGCUAACGUUGGAGCUUCAGCCAAAUCUGGUUUGGAGAAAACCAAAGCUAACGUUCAAGAGAAGGCUGAGAGGCUGACGACACGUGAUCCUUUGGAAAAGGAGUUGGCAACAGAGAAGAAAGAUGAGAGGGUUGCCCAGGCUGAGCUUGAUAAGCAGGCGGCGCGUGAGCACAACGCUGCGGCAACGGCUGGGAACACCUUGGGGCAGGGUCAUCACCACACCACUGGAACUGGCGGUACUUACCGUUGA